GGCAAUAAAGCUUAGUGACUAAGGGCAGGGCUCUGGCGUGAUUCUGUGGGUUCAAAUCCCACUUUUGUCA
RNAcentral lists this transfer RNA (70 nucleotides) under Canis lupus familiaris (dog). It matches the Rfam family "tRNA". Rfam says of the family: Transfer RNA (tRNA) molecules are approximately 80 nucleotides in length. The record is from Rfam by way of RNAcentral. RNAcentral also lists the same sequence under 2 other names. Lineage: Eukaryota; Metazoa; Chordata; Mammalia; Carnivora; Canidae.